RNAcentral lists this non-coding RNA (153 nucleotides) under human gut metagenome. The record is from RNAcentral.
GAAAUCUAGAAGUUCUUGAUGUUCUGUAGAAUAUCAGUAAUGUUUGAACACGAUGUUCAAACAAGCCGCCACUGAGCCAUGGAUGGCGAAUUGGCGGCGGUUACGUACGAUAUGAAUAAGUGCAUCAGAACAUCUUAGAACUUCUUGGUUUCA